GUGCCUGUAGCUCAGCGGAUAGAGCAACUGCCUUCUAAGCAGUGGGCCGGGGGUUCAAUUCCCUCCAGGCACG
RNAcentral lists this transfer RNA (73 nucleotides) under Candidatus Omnitrophus magneticus. It matches the Rfam family "tRNA". Rfam says of the family: Transfer RNA (tRNA) molecules are approximately 80 nucleotides in length. Their secondary structure includes four short double-helical elements and three loops (D, anti-codon, and T loops). The record is from Rfam by way of RNAcentral. Lineage: Bacteria; Pseudomonadati; Candidatus Omnitrophota.